Molecule: ribosomal RNA, 233 nt
Filed under: uncultured bacterium
Lineage: Bacteria
Description: partial 16S ribosomal RNA
Rfam family: Bacterial small subunit ribosomal RNA
Source: RNAcentral
GCACAAGCAGUGGAGUAUGUGGUUUAAUUCGACGCAACGCGAAGAACCUUACCAAGUCUUGACAUCCCUUGACAGGCAUAGAAAUGUGUUUUCUCUUCGGAGCAAGGAGACAGGUGGUGCAUGGUUGUCGUCAGCUCGUGUCGUGAGAUGUUGGGUUAAGUCCCGCAACGAGCGCAACCCUUAUUGCCAGUUACUACGUUAAGAGGACUCUGGCGAGACUGCCGUUGACAAAA